Molecule: long non-coding RNA, 146 nt
Organism: Notothenia coriiceps (black rockcod)
Lineage: Eukaryota; Metazoa; Chordata; Actinopteri; Perciformes; Nototheniidae
Exons: 2
Source: RefSeq, a predicted model, not a curated record
AGAAUUCAGAAAAAUACAUACAGAGUAAGGAGGAAUUCCACAGUGCUGCCUCCAAGACGGAAGCAAACGUGAGGUCUCGCAAUAUGAAUCCGGUGUGUUCUGGCCUGCAGGCUCAGAUUCUAUCCUGCUACAGGGAUAACGGAGAC